UAGCAGACAUCAUCAUGAGUCAAUCUGACAAACAACUGGCAAAUCCUUUUCAGUCCUUGUCAUAUGAAAAUAAAUAAUGAAGAGAAAUUAUAGAUAAAACGUAUCGGUGCUCAUCGUCCAUUGGACAUUAGCAUUACACGACAAGUUGGAAAUCGCAAAUUCAACAAUGAGUGGUUUGGAAGGAAGUGAGCACAGCCCAACACUAGCUUCUGGGCAUCAGAACUGGGAUUAUUCACCUCAAUUUGGAUGAGGAGUUCUUCAAUGACUCGGACGCAAGAGAUAUACUGCAGACACCUGACCAGGCCCGACACCCUUAUUCACUGGAGAAGGAAACUGAGAUUUCGAGGCAAAAGAUCAAGGCGCCUUGCGAGGAUCAGGCGACGAGCGGCUAAUCUGCCCUUGCCUUCCCUUCAUAACCAUCUUUCUGAAAUUGUGAGUUAUUCAGGUUUUCAUAAAAGGAAUUGACAAAGACUGAUAUUUCAAUGGGAUCUUUGCAUACAUAAUACAUUGUUCAUUUUGAGUGCAGUUAUAUAUUUUCUUUUGUAGUUUAUUUUCAAGAGCAAAGAAAUAACUGGUGUUUCUUUCCCUUCUUCAAUCCAUGUAGCUCUUUGUCUGAGAAAAGCACCCUAAAACAGUUCGAACUCUAUUUGGAAAGAUUGAAGUUCAGACUCUUCUUCUUGACAUACAGUAUCUUUCUUCAGGAGCCUGUCAACAUUGAUCAUUCAAUGAUUUUAUCUAAGGUGUGUCAGGUGUUCCAGCUCUUUGACAAGUUUAAUAGCUAAAACUGAUUUUUACAUUUAAAGAAAUCCCAUUUACUUCCAUGAACUAAGUCUCCUCUCGCAAAAUGAUCUUUGGCUAACGAUUUGAUGAUUCCAUUGAAUAUAGGAUUUCUAAGAAGUGUGUUGUUUAAUUUCCAAUAGACUCAAAUAUCCUUAGAUCUUUUAACAGCUUGUAAUUUCAGGGAAAUCAAAUGAUGAUCAGAAAAGGGAGCAAAUUGAUGAUUUACUGUACAUCUAUAACAUUGAUGAUUUACUGUACAUCUAUAACAUUGAUGAUUUACUGUACAUCUAUAACAUUGAUGAUUUACUGUACAUCUGAAACAAAUUGUAGCAAAGGAAUAAAUCUAUUCUAGAUUCUGUGA
Molecule: long non-coding RNA, 1141 nt
Organism: Oncorhynchus kisutch (coho salmon)
Lineage: Eukaryota; Metazoa; Chordata; Actinopteri; Salmoniformes; Salmonidae
Exons: 2
Source: RefSeq, a predicted model, not a curated record